Molecule: ribosomal RNA, 569 nt
Filed under: Lacticaseibacillus rhamnosus
Lineage: Bacteria; Bacillati; Bacillota; Bacilli; Lactobacillales; Lactobacillaceae
Description: bacterial LSU rRNA
Rfam family: Bacterial large subunit ribosomal RNA
Source: RNAcentral
AGAAGGGAGCUUGACUGCGAGACUGACAAGUCGAGCAGGGACGAAAGUCGGGCUUAGUGAUCCGGUGGUUCCGUAUGGAAGGGCCAUCGCUCAACGGAUAAAAGCUACCCUGGGGAUAACAGGCUUAUCUCCCCCAAGAGUCCACAUCGACGGGGAGGUUUGGCACCUCGAUGUCGGCUCAUCGCAUCCUGGGGCUGUAGUCGGUCCCAAGGGUUGGGCUGUUCGCCCAUUAAAGCGGUACGCGAGCUGGGUUCAGAACGUCGUGAGACAGUUCGGUCCCUAUCCGUCGCGGGCGCAGGAAAUUUGAGAGGAGCUGUCCUUAGUACGAGAGGACCGGGAUGGACGUUCCGCUGGUGUACCAGUUGUGCCGCCAGGCGCAUCGCUGGGUAGCUAUGAACGGAAGGGAUAAACGCUGAAAGCAUCUAAGUGUGAAGCCCCCCUCGAGAUGAGAUUUCCCAUUCCUAUAUGGAAGUAAGACCCCUGAAAGAUGAUCAGGUAGAUAGGCUGGAAGUGGAAGUGCAGCGAUGCAUGGAGCGGACCAGUACUAAUCGGUCGAGGACUUAACCAAG